This 756-nucleotide ribosomal RNA is filed under the name uncultured bacterium. Its description in RNAcentral is "bacterial SSU rRNA". It matches the Rfam family "Bacterial small subunit ribosomal RNA", at positions 8 to 796 of the family's 1533-position model. The record is from RNAcentral.
AGAGUUUGAUCAUGGCUCAGAAUCAACGCUGGCGGCGCGCUUAACACAUGCAAGUCGAACGGGAAAGUGGAGCAAUCCAUGAGUACAGUGGCGUACGGGUGAGUAACACGUGGGUGAUCUACCUUUUAGUGGGGAAUAACCCUGGGAAACCGGGGCUAAUACCGCAUAAGCCCGAGAGGGGAAAGUCGCAAGACGCUGAAAGAGGAGCCCGCGGCCGAUUAGCUAGUUGGCAGGGUAAGAGCCUACCAAGGCAGAGAUCGGUAGCCGGCCUGAGAGGGCACACGGCCACACUGGCACUGAAACACGGGCCAGACUCCUACGGGAGGCAGCAGUGGGGAAUCUUGCACAAUGGGGGCAACCCUGAUGCAGCGACGCCGCGUGAGCGAUGAAGCCCUUCGGGGUGUAAAGCUCUUUCGGCAGGGAAGAUGAUGACGGUACCUGCAGAAGCAGCUGCGGCUAACUACGUGCCAGCAGCCGCGGUAAUACGUAGGCAGCGAGCGUUGUUCGGAGUUACUGGGCGUAAAGGGUGUGUAGGCGGUUCUUUAAGUUUGGUGUGAAAUCUCCCGGCUCAACCGGGAGGGUGCGCCGAAUACUGAGGGACUAGAGUGCGGGAGAGGAAAGUGGAAUUCCUGGUGUAGCGGUGAAAUGCGUAGAUAUCAGGAGGAACACCGGUGGUGUAGACGGCUUUCUGGACCGUAACUGACGCUGAGACACGAAAGCGUGGGUAGCAAACAGGAUUAGAUACCCUAGUAGUCC